UCUAAAAUGGCAGAUUAGUGCAAUGAAAUUAAAAUUCAUUUAUAAAAUUAUUUUUUUUUAGAA
This 63-nucleotide transfer RNA is filed under the name Pelecinus polyturator. RNAcentral's name for it is "tRNA-Leu". Lineage: Eukaryota; Metazoa; Arthropoda; Insecta; Hymenoptera; Pelecinidae. The record is from RNAcentral.